AUGAUAUAAUUUUUUCGUUGUUUAAGAUAGACCUUCCCUGCGCGCUGUAAUUGUGCAGAAGCGCGGAAAGCGCGGAAAUAUUUGGUUAUAAGUUAAACUUCCCUCUCGAAUGAAAAAGAAGAGUUAAACAUUUGGAUUGAAAGAAUGAUCAGACCUAAAUCUCAGCUCUCUCUCUCUCUCUCUAAAUGUCCUCUCGAUCUGCCGAAAGCCCAAGCGAUAUUCAAAAGUCUGACACCGACUCAAGGACCGAUGAUGCUUCUAGUUGAUGACGGUGACGAGGAGCGUAGCGAUGUGAGCUCGUCGGUGUCGUAAGCCCUCUUUCCAUUCAUCUCCAAACCAUAACUAACCAAUUAAACAAAUUAUUUCUAGAUUUGUAUGUGUAAGCAUCAGAAAGGCAGGGUAUCACCAAGGCUGUGACGUGCUGGUUCUCUAUGUCGGCCAGGAGAGAUCGGAAAUCAGGGAUUGAAGAAGAACCUUCUCAAUGAAAGAGAAGGCUUCGGAACCCCCAAAGAGCGGUCACGAGGUUGAAGGUGCGUGAACUUCACUCUGUUUUUCUUUGUGCUUUUCGAAUUUGAGCUUUUCUAGAAUCAUUUUGAUUGCAUUGGAUUGAAAUUAAUUGCGAUUCUAUUUGAAUUAAGUACAUUACACUAUUUGAUUUGAGCGGCGCUAAGGGUACGCCUUUGAAGUUCACUCUCGGAAAAGGUGAGGGAAUGUUUGGCCUUUCACUUGUGACUGCUGUAGGUGAAUUGUUGAAUUAAGCUUCUGAGUGGAGUUGAUGCUACCCCACCACAUAGCCACAUCUUCGUUUUUGAUUACUUCCACACUUUCCAUCACUCGCCGCAGUUACGGUUGGCUUCGAGAAGGUGAUUUCAUUUACUCAAUGUGUGUGCUUUAGAUUUAUGUUGGAAUGAGCGAUUGUUCUAGAGGUGAUGAAUGUUAUUGUUCCAGAGCAAUAGUGGUGCCUUCUGGAUUCUUUAAUUUGUCUUGCUUGUCUGGUAAAGUCCACAUAGUUAGUCUGGAUUUGUCUGGAUAUGCCACUUUUCCAAUUAACAAUUUAUCCAUCCUAAUAUUAUACUUAUUUUCACUUUGUUAAGAUGUAGUACUUGUAACAUCCCUUAGGGACGGAAUGAAUCUAGUCAGUUAUGAAUAUGUGGCAUUGCCAAGAUGCAAAGAAAGGGGUCAUUAUCCUUAGUGAGUAAAUGUCUAGACAUGAUAUGGCUAAUGGCUGCAAUAUUGGGGUGACCUUGGAACAACUGGACAUGAUAUGGCUAAUGGCUGCAUUGUUGGACUGCAAGUGUAGAUGAGUAGUCUGGUUUUACUCGGAAGAGAAUGAGAGCUUGCAUUUUCAAUUUAUGAGGUAUUUGAUAUGACUGCUUUUGAUAUCUCCUUUUGUUUUGGCACUGAUCCAACAUCUUCAUCACAUUAGUUACUUGAUAUAUAUAGUUUCAUAAUUGCAAGGUUUAAUUGAGGAGUGGCUCCAAUGUUGACAGCAAUAGGUUUGGCUCUAUCAUUUCUGGCAACAGGUUGAGUUCAUAUGUUUGUUUUAGUGAAUAAGUUUGUACUUACAUAAGCAUUUGCCAAGCAUAAUUAGCUAUAAUGAACCGCGCUCAUGCUACCGCCAGCGGUACCAACAAUCACCAAUGGUAUGACUUACGGAAACACAGCCAAGUAGGCUAUCAC
Long non-coding RNA from Rosa chinensis, 1680 nucleotides. RefSeq lists it as uncharacterized. The transcript has 3 exons. The record is from RefSeq and is a predicted model, not a curated record. NCBI's taxonomy places the organism in Eukaryota, Viridiplantae, Streptophyta, Magnoliopsida, Rosales, Rosaceae.